Molecule: ribosomal RNA, 253 nt
Filed under: uncultured bacterium
Lineage: Bacteria
Description: partial 16S ribosomal RNA
Rfam family: Bacterial small subunit ribosomal RNA
Source: RNAcentral
UACAGAGGGUGCGAGCGUUAAUCGGAAUUACUGGGCGUAAAGCGUGCGCAGGCGGGCUUUUAAGCCAGACGUGAAAUCCCCGGGCUUAACCUGGGAAUGGCAUUUGGGACUGCAAGGCUGGAGUUUGGCAGAGGAGACUGGAAUUCCCGGUGUAGCAGUGAAAUGCGUAGAUAUCGGGAGGAAUACCGAUGGCGAAGGCAGGUCUCUGGGCUAUAACUGACGCUCAUGCACGAAAGCGUGGGGAGCAAACAGG